UUGAGUUUGAUGAUGGCUCUGAAUGAACGCUGUUCAAGUGACUGAUACAUGCUAAUCGUACGACUAGUCUUGGUUGCGCCUACCUGUAGCUUUGCUUUAUUGUGGGUGCUCUUAGAUUAGUAGUGGUGUACAGGUGAGUAAGGAUAAUCUAACUGCCUAGGAAUAAGGAUUAAGAUCCCUUUUAAAAGAAGUAUAUAUUCGCUCCUAGAUGUUGAUAUAUCUCGUGUGUGGUAGUAGUUGAGAUAACAGCUUAACUAGCUAAAUGCACGUAGUCGUAACUGAGAGGUUGAUCGACCACAAUGGGACUGAAUAAAUCCCAUAUCUAACGUUCAGCAGUAAUGAAUUUUGGUCAAUAGGGGAAACCCUGAACCAGCAACUUGAAAGAAUGUAUAGGGGAAACCCUACUUGCUUCAUGAUUAUGAUUGAGGUAAGAUCGGCUAUGUCGCAUAAAGUUCUAGUUAGUACUAUGAUAAUGACAUUUUCUGACUAUGUGUCUUGACCAAAUUACGUGCCAGCUGUCGCGGUAAUACGUAGAAGACUAGUGUUAUUCAUAUUUAAUCGGUUUAAAGGGUACCUAGACGGCAGAUAAAGCCUUAAUAUAAAUAGAUAAAGGGACUAAUCUAGCUAGAGUUACUUAUGAGGAAGCUAUAAAGUACUGCUGGUGUAGAGAUGAAAUUCUGUCAUACCUCUUUCCGUUAGGGAAACGACGGCACAGGUAAAGGCGAAGGCGUCUUCUUAUGGGAUAACUGACGUUGAGGGACGAAGGCUUAAUGUAGCAAACAGGAUUAGUUACCCUAAUAACCUAAGCAGAAAAUGAUGAAUGUCAUAGGUUAGGUCACCUUAUCUUAUCCUAUAAAUGAAAGUGUAAGCAUUCCACCUCAAGAGUAAUUUGGCAACAUUGGAACUGAAAUCAUUAGACCGUUUCUGAAAACAGUAGUGAGGUAUGUUGUUUAAUUUGAUGAUCCACAAAGAACCUUACCACAAUUUGAAUAUUUAGAACUAUCACCUUGCCUCGUGCCAUGUCAUGAUUAUCGUGGGCUGCUCUAUAGCGAAACACAAGAAGCAUACAUAGCAAAGAGGGAAGGCUUAUAUCUAUCUACAAGCGUUGCACGGCUGUCUUCAGUUAAUGUCGCGAGACUAUGGUUAGUUCCAUUAAAUUAACGUAAACCCUUGUCCUAGUUUUAAUAUAGGACAGUUCUCCGCUAUAUUGGAUGUGAUAAUAGGGACUAAGACAAGUCAUCAUGGCCUAAUAUUGUGGGCUAUAGACGUGCUACGUAGGCCUAACAAAAGGGAGUGAAAUCGCGAGAUUGAGCUAAUCCCCCAAAUCUGGACAUAAACUGACAAUGGAUUGUAGCCUGUAACUCGGCUGCAUGAAAAAGGAAUUACUAGUAAUCGUGUAUAAGUAUGGCACGGUGAAUCUAAUCUCAGAUAGGUACUAACCACUCGUCAGGCGCCGAAAGAAGUAUGUGCAAUAAGUUUGGCUACUGUUUAUUUAUAACCUGGGUGAUCUUAUCCAGAAACUUAGGCAGGAUGUCUUCGUAUGCGUGACUCUGAUUGGUGUUAAGUCGAAAUACGGUUCGUGUAGCGGAAGUUGCACGGGAUUAAUUAAUA
This 1611-nucleotide ribosomal RNA is filed under the name Usnea subfusca. RNAcentral's name for it is "SSU rRNA". It matches the Rfam family "Bacterial small subunit ribosomal RNA". Lineage: Eukaryota; Fungi; Ascomycota; Lecanoromycetes; Lecanorales; Parmeliaceae. The record is from RNAcentral.